RNAcentral lists this unclassified non-coding RNA (258 nucleotides) under Basidiobolus ranarum. RNAcentral describes it as "partial internal transcribed spacer 2". Lineage: Eukaryota; Fungi; Basidiobolomycota; Basidiobolomycetes; Basidiobolales; Basidiobolaceae. The record is from RNAcentral.
UAACCAUUCUCAAGCUAAUCUCUUUUCGAAGAGUGCGGCAUGGAACUGAGUCUUCUCGGUAUGAGUGUUUCGGCACUGCAACUGGGAGAUUUGAAACUGAUAUCGCGGGAGCAGUGGUCAUUAAGGAUCAGUUCUUUGUAGGUGUACUAGUUGGAGGCGUCGCAAGACGUUUUCAUUCUUAGCACCAAUACGCAAAGUUCGGAUCUGACGACUGCAACCAACGAACGCAGGAACUUGUGAGUACUCGAUACUCCAACU